UGUUUCGGCAAGGGGGUCAUCCCGACUUACCAACCCGAUGCAAACUGCGAAUACCGGAGAAUGUUAUCACGGGAGACACACGGCGGGUGCUAACGUCCGUCGUGAAGAGGGAAACAACCCAGACCGCCAGCUAAGGUCCCAAAGUCAUGGUUAAGUGGGAAACGAUGUGGGAAGGCCCAGACAGCCAGGAUGUUGGCUUAGAAGCAGCCAUCAUUUAAAGAAAGCGUAAUAGCUCACUGGUCGAGUCGGCCUGCGCGGAAGAUGUAACGGGGCUAAACCAUGCACCGAAGCUGCGGCAGCGACGCUUAUGCGUUGUUGGGUAGGGGAGCGUUCUGUAAGCCUGUGAAGGUGUGCUGUGAGGCAUGCUGGAGGUAUCAGAAGUGCGAAUGCUGACAUAAGUAACGAUAAAGCGGGUGAAAAGCCCGCUCGCCGGAAGACCAAGGGUUCCUGUCCAACGUUAAUCGGGGCAGGGUGAGUCGACCCCUAAGGCGAGGCCGAAAGGCGUAGUCGAUGGGAAACAGGUUAAUAUUCCUGUACUUGGUGUUACUGCGAAGGGGGGACGGAGAAGGCUAUGUUGGCCGGGCGACGGUUGUCCCGGUUUAAGCGUGUAGGCUGGUUUUCCAGGCAAAUCCGGAAAAUCAAGGCUGAGGCGUGAUGACGAGGCACUACGGUGCUGAAGCAACAAAUGCCCUGCUUCCAGGAAAAGCCUCUAAGCAUCAGGUAACAUCAAAUCGUACCCCAAACCGACACAGG
This 753-nucleotide ribosomal RNA is filed under the name Escherichia coli. RNAcentral's name for it is "partial 23S ribosomal RNA". It matches the Rfam family "Bacterial large subunit ribosomal RNA", at positions 911 to 1663 of the family's 2925-position model. The record is from RNAcentral. Lineage: Bacteria; Pseudomonadati; Pseudomonadota; Gammaproteobacteria; Enterobacterales; Enterobacteriaceae.